AGCAGCCGCGGUAAUUCCAGCUCCAAUAGCGUAUAUUAAAGUUGUUGCAGUUAAAAGCUCGUAGUUGAAUUUCGGGGUCAGUAGGUCGGUCGUGCCACUGGUAUGCACUGGUCUCACUGAUUCCUCCUUCUUGAAGAACCGUAAUGUCAUUAACUUGGUGUUGCGGGGAAACAGGACUGUUACCUUGAAAAAUUAGAGUGUUUAAAGCAGGCUAACGCUUGAAUACAUUAGCAUGGAAUAAUGAAAUAGGACGACGAUCCUAUUUUGUUGGUUUCUAGGAUUGACGUAAUGAUUAAUAGGGAUAGUUGGGGGCAUUAGUAUUCAAUUGUCAGAGGUGAAAUUCUUGGAUUUAUUGAAGACUAACUACUGCGAAAGCAUUUGCCAGGGAUGUUUUCAUUAAUCAAGAACGAAAGUUAGGGGAUCGAAGACGAUCAGAUACCGUCGUAGUCUUAACCAUAAACUAUGCCGACUAGGGAUCGGAUGAUGUUAAUUUUAUAAUGACUCAUUCGGCGCCUUAAC
RNAcentral lists this ribosomal RNA (519 nucleotides) under uncultured Glomus. RNAcentral describes it as "SSU rRNA". It matches the Rfam family "Eukaryotic small subunit ribosomal RNA", at positions 569 to 1092 of the family's 1831-position model. Lineage: Eukaryota; Fungi; Glomeromycota; Glomeromycetes; Glomerales; Glomeraceae. The record is from RNAcentral.